AAGUGGGAACAAGGUUUCCGUAGGUAAACCUGCGGAAGGAUCAUUGCAAAUCAAAGAUUGGAAAUGAUAUGGUUGGAUUUGGGAAGCGAGAGAUUUUGAGAUUCUAGAUAUCGAAAGAUUGAAGGAUGAUUUUGAAACACCUUGUUUACUAUUUGCUUCCAUUCCAUUUCCACAUACGCACAACAUUUGGUUGACUGGUCCUCCUUUCUUUUGUCUCUGCCGCUGAUGUUUACGCUUGUUUGUUUGACAAAUCUAUUACUUAAAGUCUACACAACUUUGAGCUCUUGGCUCUU
This 293-nucleotide unclassified non-coding RNA is filed under the name fungal sp. RNAcentral describes it as "partial internal transcribed spacer region". The record is from RNAcentral. Lineage: Eukaryota; Fungi.